AGAAAGUAACUUCUCCUUCAGAGAAAGAAUUUACUGUUUGUUAGCAAUCCUUGGCGGAGAAGGCAAUGGCACCCCACUCCAGUACUCUUGCCUGGAAAAUCCCAUGGGCUGAGGAGCCUGGUAGGCUGCAGUCCAUGGGGUCGCUAAGAGUCGGACACGACUGAGCGACUUCACUUUCACUUUUCACUUUCAUGCAUUGGAGAAGGCAAUGGCAACCCACUCCAGUGUUCAUGCCUGGAGAAUCCCAGGGACGGGGGAGCUUGGUUGGCUGCUGUCUACGGGGUCGCACAGAGUUGGACACGACUGAAGUGACUUAGCAGCAACAGCAGCAAUCCUUGGGCCUUCCCGGGUGGCGCUAGUGGUAAAGAAUUCACCUGCCAAUGCCAGAGACGCAAGAGACAUGGGUUCUAUCCCUGGGUUGGAAACCCGUGAAGGAGGAGAUGGCAACCCACUCCAGUAUUCUUGCCUGGAAAAUUCCAUGGACAGAGGAUCCUGGUGGCCUACUGUCCACGGGGUCGCAAAAAUUCAGACACUGAGCAUGCACACAGAUUCAACAAAAGCAAACCUUAUUCUUACUCUGAAAUCAUAGAAAAGAGUAAAUUAUCCCCAUUAUAAUGGACCAGACUAAAGCUGAGCUUGAGGCCUUGGACACUACCUCCUACAUAGGGAGCCAGCUGUCUAAAGGCUUUGUCUAAGAGCUUCUAAAAAAGAACCAGACUUGGCUGACAGGGCCCAUAGAUCCUUGCUUAGCUAUUAGCAAGCCUUCGGGGCUAGGGGGCGGGGUAUACUGGCAGAUUUUAUUAAACUACAGUCUUAAUAUGGUGGUACUGGAGAUGACCCAGACCUCAGGAGCUGGGACAGCAAACUUCUCUCUGGCCUUGAGAGCUAAAAUUCCUCCAUCUGGCCAUGGGCCAGCCCUAGAGAAUCAAGAAAGUGGGAAGCCAUGGAAAUGUUCUGUGUUUGUGCCAAAGAAAAGUUUUGACCAGAGUUUUCCAUGCAGGAUUGUUUCACAUGUGUAUGUGUGUUAAAUAUUUUGUAACAUCUAAUUUAAGAAGAAGUUCAACCAUAAAAAAAACAAAAGAAGUCCAACUAAGCCAAGAGCGGAAAUGGUCAGAGUUCAGUCCCCACCCACUAAAGCCUCAGGCCAGAUCUGGAAUAGAGAUCUCAAGAGCACAGGCCUUUGAAGAGGGUAAGCAGAGGAAUAGGAGAAAGGAUGGAUUUGAAUUGCUGGUGGAAAAGAGACAGUGAAAUUAUACUGCGGUUGGGUGAGGCGGGGAACUUUUUAGAUAAAACACAUCUGCCGGAAGAGAAGCUAAAGAAAGGGUGGAAGGGCUGCUCCUGAAGGGGUGGGGUGGGUAGCUGUAUUGUCUAGUCUACCCUCUCCUUUCUGAGGAGAGCCCAAGGCCAGUUAGUGGCUUGGCCUGGCCUCUGAGUCCGACACCUGCCUUACAUCAUGCUGUUCCUAGAUGUAGUUCUUAGGGGGAGGAGGAAGGGGGGCACUUACCUUGAUCUCCCCACCCUCAGUGUGACUCCAGCAGGGCUCUGACGACAGUACACAGCCCUAGUGGGGGAUUGAAGAUGGCCUGUAAGGAGGCAGGGCGAGGAGGGAAGAGCCUUGUGCAAAGGAAGACCAGAGACAGCUGAGCUUGGACCGCCCUCACCUGCAGAAAAUCAACACCAGGGCCCUUACCCUCAGACUAACGUUUCUUGUCGCUGCACCUCUCAGCAGCUCUGAUGGCUCGUAGGGUGCUGAGUGCCAUCCUGAUGUUUCAGUGCCCAGAAAGGUCAGCACAUCUCUUGGGUGAAUUUCAGAGGGGACUGAUAAACAUCUUGGGAGACUGGAAGAAAAGAUCAAAGGGAUCAGAGGAUGGCCAGUAGGUUUUUUAUUUAUUUUUAAUUGAAGGAUAAUUCUUUACAGUAUUGUGCUGGUGUCUGUCAUACAUCAACAUGAAUCAGCCAUAGCUAUACAUAUGUCCCCUGCCUCUUAAACCUCCCCCCACCUCCCACCCCAUCCCACCUCUCUAGGUUAUCACAGAGCCCCACUUUCAGUUCCCUGAGUCAUACAGCAAAUUCCCACUGGCUAUCUAUUUCACAUAUGUUAGUGAAUAUGUCUCCGUUCUACUCUCUCCAUUCACCCCACCCUCUCCACCAUCCCCAUCCCCAUGUGCCUAAGUCUGUUCUCUACAUCUGCAUCUCCACGGCUGCCCUGCAAGUAGGUUCAUCGGUACCGUCUUUCUAGAUUCCAUAUACAUGCAUUAAUAUACGAUAUUUGUCUUUCUGACUGACUUCACUCUGUAUAAUAGGCUCUAGGUUCGUCCAUCUCAUGAGCACUGACUCAAAUGUUUUCCUUUUUAUGACUGAGUAACAUUCCAUUGUGUAUAUGUACCACAGCUUCUUUACCCAUUCACCUGUCAAUGGACAUCUAGGUUGCUUCCAUGCCCUAGCUAUUGUAACUAGUGCUGCGGUAAACAUUGGAGUACAUGUAACUUUUUUCAAUUAUGACUUUCUCAGGGUACAUGCCUAUGUGGGAUUGUUGGGUCAUAUGGUAGUUUUAUUCCUAGUUUUUAAAGGCAUCUCCAGUGCAAGAAGUCUCCCUUUUCUCUACACCCUCUCCAGCAUUUAUUGUUUGUAGAUUUUUUGUGUAAGCUCAUUAGGUUUUAGGUAUGCUGGCACUCAAGAAUAAGAGAAGAACUUUCCAGUUACGAGCACCCAAGGACCAGAAGAGGAAGGAACACAUUUCAAAUGGAAUCUACCCAGUUGGAGACCAAAGAAGACUGUCCAAAUCUCUGUACUCAUCUUGGCUGUGGGGUCCUGUCACUCAGUCGUGUCUGACUCUGCGACUCCCAUGGACUUCAGCACACCAGGCUUCCCUGUCCUUCACGAUCUCCCGGAAUUUGCUCAAACUCAUCUCCAUUGAAUCAGUGAUGCUAUCCAACCAUCUCAUCCUGUGUCAUCCCCUUCUCCUCCUGCCUUCAAUCUUUGCCAUCAUCAGAGUCUUUCCCAAUGAAUCAGCUCUUCACAUCCAGUGGCCCAAGUAUUAGCACAACAUCCAUCAUCAAGUAGGCACUGGAUAAAGAGUGCCGCUCUUUGUCUCAUCAUAAUCUUGUCUUCGGGCUUCCUGGUGGUCCAGUGUUUAAGAAUCUGCCUGCCAACGCAGGGGACACGAUUCAGUCCCUGGUUGGGGAAGAUCCCACAUGCUGCGGGGCAGCUAAGCCCAGGAACACAACUACUGAAGCCCUCGCGUGCCUGUGUUCCGCAACUAGAGAAGUGGCCACAGUGAGAAGCCUAUGCACCUCAACUAGAGAAUAGCCCCUGCUCUCCACAGCUAGAGAAAAGCCCGUUCGCAACAACAAAGACCCAGUGCAACCAGAAAUAUAUUAAAAAAUAAAUAAAAUUUUUUUAAAUGGGUUGUUUUAAG
Long non-coding RNA from Bos taurus (domestic cattle), 3418 nucleotides. The record is from Ensembl. NCBI's taxonomy places the organism in Eukaryota, Metazoa, Chordata, Mammalia, Artiodactyla, Bovidae.